Molecule: ribosomal RNA, 740 nt
Filed under: uncultured archaeon
Lineage: Archaea
Description: bacterial SSU rRNA
Rfam family: Archaeal small subunit ribosomal RNA
Source: RNAcentral
UUCCGGUUGAUCCCGCCGGACCCGACUGCUAUCAGAGUGGGACUAAGCCAUGCGAGUCGACGUAGCAAUGCGUGGCGAACGGCUCAGUAACACGUAGUCAACGUGCCCAGGGGACGUGGAUAACCUCGGGAAACUGAGAAUAAACCACGAUAGGUCACGAUUUCUGGAAUGGAUCAUGGCAUAAAUCUACAUGGCCCCUGGAUUGGACUGCGGCCGAUCAGGCAGUUGGUGAGGUAAUGGCCCACCAAACCUAUAACCGGUACGGGCUCUGAGAGGAGAAGCCCGGAGAUGGGCACUGAGACAAGGGCCCAGGCCCUAUGGGGCGCAGCAGGCGCGAAACCUCUGCAAUAGGCGAAAGCCUGACAGGGUUACUCUGAGUGAUUUCCGCUAAGGGGAUCUUUUGGCACCUCUAAAAAUGGUGCAGAAUAAGGGGUGGGCAAGUCUGGUGUCAGCCGCCGCGGUAAUACCAGCACCCCGAGUGGUCGGGACGAUUAUUGGGCCUAAAGCAUCCGUAGCCGGUUCUGCAAGUCUUCCGUUAAAUCCAGCCGCUCAACGGAUGGGCCGCGGAGGAUACUAUAGGACUAGGAGGCGGGAGGGGCAAGCGGUACUCAGUGGGUAGGGGUAAAAUCCUUUGAUCCAUUGAAGACCACCAGUGGCGAAGGCGGCUUGCCAGAACGCGCUCGACGGUGAGGGAUGAAAGCUGGGGGAGCAAACCGGAUUAGAUACCCGGGUAGUCCCAG